RNAcentral lists this unclassified non-coding RNA (875 nucleotides) under uncultured Synechococcus sp. RNAcentral describes it as "partial may contain 16S ribosomal RNA, 16S-23S ribosomal RNA intergenic spacer, and 23S ribosomal RNA". The stretch from base 351 to 423 matches the Rfam family "tRNA". Lineage: Bacteria; Bacillati; Cyanobacteriota; Cyanophyceae; Synechococcales; Synechococcaceae. The record is from RNAcentral.
GGACGUCGAAGGUGGGGCUGAUGACUGGGGUGAAGUCGUAACAAGGUAUCCGUACCGGAAGGUGCGGAUGGAUCACCUCCUAACAGGGAGACAACACAAUGAUUUUGAUGCCUGAGUACUAUUAUUCUUAGGCCGAAAUCCUGUCACCUCAGGUCGAUCGGUACCUCAGCUUUGAAGUCAAGGAUCAGCAGCAAUGUUGAUUACUUGAUGGAGAUUUUUAGUUCCUAAACUUUGUCUAGGUCACACCCCAAAAGGGAUGAGACUCCUGGGCCAUUAGCUCAGGUGGUUAGAGCGCACCCCUGAUAAGGGUGAGGUCCCUGGUUCAAGUCCAGGAUGGCCCAUUCGGUGUUGGGGGUUUAGCUCAGUUGGUAGAGCGCCUGCUUUGCAAGCAGGAUGUCAGGAGUUCGAGUCUCCUAACCUCCACUGACCGAACUUGAUUCCCAUCUCCAAUUUUUUGGAGUUGAGCUCGAUUGGAGUGUGAUUUAGAUGUGUCCGCUGGAUGACCCCAGCAUCCUGUCAUUCCAAGUUUUAGAUUUAAGUCUUGAAUUUGGUUGAUAAGAUGCUGGGCUCGGAUCAAAUAAUCAAGCAAUUGAUGAUUUGAUUUGAAGUUCUAGCAGAACCUUGACAACUGCAUAGGUGAAGUCUGGAAAAGCAAAGCAUCUUACAGAUGCAUUGUUUUGAAUCUGAUCUUCUAAAAGGGAGAUUGGAUCUAGAACAAUGAAAAUUCUUUUGAGCAAGAGCCGAGACUCUUAAACGUUCUUUGAUUCGUGUCGAGCGAAUCAAAGUUUGAUCUUGUUUUUAGCAAUAAAAACAUGAGAAUCUGCUUUCAACGGCGGUAAGCGUUUAAGAGGUUAAUUGGUCAAGCUACAAAGGGC